AAGUCGUAACAAGGUUUCCGUAGGUGAACCUGCGGAAGGAUCAUUCAUAAUCAAGUGUUUUUAUGGCACUUUCAAAAAUCCAUAUCCACCUUGUGUGCACUGUUGUGUCUCUGGCGGCGGGGCAAGUAGUGGGUAUAUUCAAAGUAUGCUCCGAUAUUUGCCUGUCAGUCUGGUUGUAAAAAGCCAGGACCGUGGACAAACCGCCAAAUUAUUAAACAACUUAUAUUCUUUAACUUUAUGUCUGACAUCAUGUUUAUAUUAAAUUAUACAAACAACUUUUGGCAACGGAUCUCUUGGCUCUC
Molecule: unclassified non-coding RNA, 302 nt
Filed under: Mortierella sp.
Lineage: Eukaryota; Fungi; Mortierellomycota; Mortierellomycetes; Mortierellales; Mortierellaceae
Description: partial internal transcribed spacer region
Rfam family: Eukaryotic small subunit ribosomal RNA (bases 1-46)
Source: RNAcentral